This 476-nucleotide ribosomal RNA is filed under the name uncultured bacterium. RNAcentral's name for it is "partial 16S ribosomal RNA". It matches the Rfam family "Bacterial small subunit ribosomal RNA", at positions 28 to 523 of the family's 1533-position model. The record is from RNAcentral.
GGUGAACGCUGGCGGCGUGCUUAAGACAUGCAAGUCGAACGCAGUCUUCGGACUGAGUGGCGCACGGGUGAGUAACACGUAACUGACCUACCCCCAAGUCGCGAAUAACCAGCCGAAAGGAUGGCUAAUACGUGAUGUGAUGAUCCGCUGUGGCGGAUCAUUAAAGACUUGAUCGCUUGGGGAUGGGGUUGCGUUCCAUCAGCUAGUUGGUAAGGUAAAGGCUUACCAAGGCAACGACGGAUAGCCGGCCUGAGAGGGUGGCCGGCCACAGGGGCACUGAGACACGGGUCCCACUCCUACGGGAGGCAGCAGUUAGGAAUCUUCCACAAUGGGCGCAAGCCUGAUGGAGCGACGCCGCGUGAGGGAUGAAGGUUCUCGGAUCGUAAACCUCUGAACCAACGACGAAAGACCCGACAAGGGAGAUGACGGUAGUUGGGUAAUAGCACCGGCUAACUCCGUGCCAGCCGCCGCCGUAA